This 301-nucleotide ribosomal RNA is filed under the name uncultured bacterium. Its description in RNAcentral is "partial 16S ribosomal RNA". It matches the Rfam family "Bacterial small subunit ribosomal RNA", at positions 509 to 807 of the family's 1533-position model. The record is from RNAcentral.
CAGCCGCCGCGGGAAUACGUAGGCAGCGAGCGUUGUUCGGAAUUACUGGGCGUAAAGAGUGUGUAGGCGGUGCUCUAAGUUCGGUGUGAAAUCUCCUGGCUUAACUGGGAGGGUGCGCCGGAAACUGGAGUGCUCGAGUGUGGGAGAGGAAAGCGGAAUUCCUGGUGUAGCGGUGAAAUGCGUAGAUAUCAGGAGGAACACCUGCGGUGUAGACGGCUUUCUGGACCAUUACUGACGCUGAGACACGAAAGCGUGGGUAGCAAACAGGAUUAGAUACCCGAGUAGUCCCUGUCUCUUAUAC